RNAcentral lists this long non-coding RNA (341 nucleotides) under Homo sapiens (human). RNAcentral describes it as "non-protein coding lnc-SLC17A7-2:1". The record is from RNAcentral. Lineage: Eukaryota; Metazoa; Chordata; Mammalia; Primates; Hominidae.
CGAAGUUGACCUCCCCAAACUGGUGAUCAUCCUGUUGCUGGGGAGGGUGACCUGAUUCCGCCACCUCUCCAGGAUGGAGCCCUGGGGCUGUCGCUGGAGAUCGGGGAGAACCGCCUGGUGAUGGGGGGCCCCCAGCAGCUGUAUCAUCUAGACGCUUAUAUCCCGCUGCAGAUCAACUCUCAUGAGAGCAAGGCAGCCUUCCACCGGAAGAGAAAGCAAUUAAUGGUGGCCAUGCCGCUUCUGCCGGUGCCUUCUUGAUCAGGGUGUCUCCUUGUGCUUCUGAGAUGUGGAGAAGAGGCUGCUGGCUUCCCUAAAAGUUGAAAUAAAAGAUUUUUGCCUUU